Molecule: ribosomal RNA, 217 nt
Filed under: uncultured bacterium
Lineage: Bacteria
Description: partial 16S ribosomal RNA
Rfam family: Bacterial small subunit ribosomal RNA
Source: RNAcentral
ACCUACCAUACAGUGGGGGAUAACCAGAAGAAAUUCUGGCUAAUAUCGUAUACGAAGUACAAAUUUGAAAGUAGUGCUUGAAAGGAUGCUUCGGCAUUCACUGUUUGAUGGGCCUGCGUAGCAUUAGUUUGAUGGUGGGGUAACGGCCUACCAUGACUACGAUGCUUAGCUGGUCUGAGAGGAUGAUCAGCCACACUGGAACUGAGACACGGUCCAG